RNAcentral lists this ribosomal RNA (468 nucleotides) under uncultured bacterium. RNAcentral describes it as "partial 16S ribosomal RNA". It matches the Rfam family "Bacterial small subunit ribosomal RNA", at positions 28 to 507 of the family's 1533-position model. The record is from RNAcentral.
GACGAACGCUGGCGGCGUGCUUAACACAUGCAAGUCGAACGGAAAGGCCCUGCUUUUGUUGGGUGCUCGAGUGGCGAACGGGUGAGUAACACGUGAGUAACCUGCCCUUGACUUUGGGAUAACUUCAGGAAACUGGGGCUAAUACCGGAUAGGAGCUCCUGCUGCAUGGUGGGGGUUGGAAAGUUUCGGCGGUUGGGGAUGGACUCGCGGCUUAUCAGCUUGUUGGUGGGGUAGUGGCUUACCAAGGCUUUGACGGGUAGCCGGCCUGAGAGGGUGACCGGCCACAUUGGGACUGAGAGACGGCCCAGAAUCCUACGGGAGGCAGCAGUGGGGAAUAUUGCACAAUGGGCGGAAGCCUGAUGCAGCAACGCCGCGUGCGGGAUGACGGCCUUCGGGUUGUAAACCGCUUUCGCCUGUGACGAAGCGUGAGUGACGGUAAUGGGUAAAGAAGCACCGGCUAACUACGUG